CUCUCUCUCUCUCUCUCUCUCUCUCUCUCUCUCAUACACACACACACAGAUAAGCGGACGCGAAUUCGAGUUGGGCGCACGCGCUUUUCCUCCAUUAGGGAUUCCCUUUCUUCGCCGACCGUCCAGCUUCGAUCUCCCGUGGAGGAGGGCUACCUGUUGUUGCAUUCUCUGGAAUUGGAUCGGAGCUCCCCCGAGGGAUCCCAUCUUGUUAGGGUUCCGUGCUCGCGGCGAUGGCGGGCGCGCUGGUGGAACGUGCCACAAGCAGCAUGCUGAUUGGUCCCGACUGGGCCAUGAACGUCGAGAUCUGUGAUAUCCUCAAUCGCGACCCGGGGUAUGCGACUCUGCUCUGCCUUCUCCUUCCCUUCUAUUUUCACGUUUGUUUCCUGAGCAAUGGUGAUGCUGCCGCCGAUGCUUCUCAUUUUGUGAUUUACAGCUGAGGUGAUUGUUUCACGGGAUGUCUUUGUGCGAUCAUCGCGUCUGAUCGCUCAUACCUUCUUUUGUUGUUUAUGGAGGUUUUACCUCUCUUUUUUUUUUUAGGCAAUUGUUAAGCAUAAAUGGUCUUUCGUGUUGCAAUUAAUUAUACACGUUGACGAAUGUUGCGGAAUUCUUAUCCUAGAAGGCGAGGUGGGAGCUUUUGGUGAAGUAAUUUAACCUGUUUUUGGAUCAGGAAUAUUUUUGGAUGAAUUAAACCGUGUUAAGCUUUUCCUGGUAUCUAUCCAAUAAGAAAUCUUCGGAUUCAUUCAUAUAAUAUUGUAGUUAGCAAGAAUGAUUUCAUCAUUGCACGUAGGUCCACAUGUAAGUAAAAGUGAAGGCGAGAAAUUAAUUAAGCAAGCUAAAAACCUUUAGGCACAAAUCAUACAUUUCAAGGUAGUUCCUUCUUUGUUCGUUUCCUUCACUUGAUUGUGAAAAACUUGUCACAGGAUCAUGGAACAUGAAUCAAUAAUUUGCAUGCAAUCUGCAUCCCGUUGAUGAGAUAUAAUGUAAAAUGCAGGAUAUGAUCGUCUCAGAUUUUUUAAAAUUGUGAUAUUUAAAUAAUUCCUUUGCAAUAUUGUUCAUGGCGACAGAGAAUGAUAUGGAACUAUUCACACUGGAAAGAAAUGAAACCUUAUCUGGCCUUGUGAGAUUGAUCAAAGUAAGGUUCGCUGUACCAUACCGUACUGAUGUUUCGACCCGGGCUCGGUACGGUACGGUACCGGUGUACCGGGUAGUACAUCAGGGCGUACCGAGCGGUACUCCCUGAUGUACCGAAUAAUUCUAUACUUUUCAUAUUGUAACACUAUAGCAGAGCUAUAGUAUAAUACUGUAGCACUGUAGCGGUACCCGGCGGUCCGCGUACCGGUAACCUAUCGGACCGGUACAUACUGCCCGAUACGGGCGGUACGCUUCGAUAUGGCAGACCUUGGAUCAAACACACUUGGCAUGUGAUUCAUGCCUAUAUGUCUUAUUGUUUCAGAAGUUAACUUGGGGUUGUCGUAUCGGUAAAUGGCACUAUGAAAAUCAGAACUAUCAGAGGAACCUCGGUCUAAAGAAGAGGCUCAAAUAAUUGGGGUCAAUUAUCUAUGGGACUUUUACUUCCUUUGCAAUUAAGUUAUAUGGUCUCUUUCUUGUUAUAUUUUCUCCUAGGGUCUUCAUGCCAACUUCAUACUUGACCAUAUUUGUUAAUGCAAUGACAUUUGCAUUCUUAUAUGAUGGGCCACAUGCAACUUACAUGCAUUAGUAAGGUUUGUUUUUACAUUGAUUUAAUUUUUUGUUUGCUUUGGUUACCAGGCAAGCUAAAGAUGUUGUUAGAGCCCUCAAAAAACGUAUUGGGCAUAAAAGCCCGAAGGUUCAGCUUCUUGCACUUUCAGUAAGUGUAUCAAACAGUUUGGCUUCUGGCUGUAUGUUAUGGCUUUGUCUAGUUGUGUCUUAUUGGUUUGUUUUCAAUUCUUGAUGUGACAAUUUGUUUAGUGUAUUUUUGUUAAUCUACUGCACAGUGUAUCCUUACCUGAAUCUGUUUUUUUAUCAGUUCUCUUGUUUUCUAGUGCUUCUUUGUUAAGAAGGAUGAUGGAUUUUCAUUUACUUGAAGACAUCUUAGAUUGCAUUUGUUUCUAUUUUUUUGUCAAUGCUCCAUAUUUUCUGUUUAUGAAUUUCAUUUUAGUGGCAUUAUUCAACUUCCAUGUUAGAUCCUAGUGAUUUCUUUAAACUUGAUUAUUCUACUCUUGUCUUCUGUAAUGUGGCAAAGUGGGGCUUUUAACUUAUGAUCUUGAAAGCUAUAUUGCGACUUACAUGAAUGAAUUUUCUCAGGCUUUUUCCUUAUGAUUAUCUUCUUAGGCCUGAACAUUUUCUCAAAAACAAGAUGCGAUUUUUUUAAAGAAGAAAGGGACAUUAGAUUUGUGCUUGUUGGUCAUAUGUCAGUGUGCCAUUUUAUGAUUUGCUUCUUUGUAGUUCAGUUAAUAAACUAAAAGAUAAUAAAACAUUGGAUUUAUUUUGUUCUCUCUUCGAAUCUGGAGGUUUUUUUAUUUGCUCAUAUCUCAAAGCCUCUUGAUCUACAUCCUCUGUCACGAAAUAUUUUAAACAGAGUGCCAGUGUUGCUUUUGCUAAUAUUAGCAACAUUGAACUGAAUUAAAUGUGUAUCUUAUGCACUGAAUCACUUUGAGGCUUAAGGCUUAAUCUUUAGUUCAACUCUCAUAAUAAUAUUCAAACUCUCAGCCUAUUCUCAGAAAAUUUAUCUGUGCUUUUGUAGCAUCAUUUCAAUAGAGAUUACAGUUUAUUUGCCGCAUAUUAUGCAUUCUGUUGUGCUUUUAGAUUGAUUUUUAUUUAGGCUUAAUUUUUGAAAAAAUUUUGGAUGUUGGACAAUGUUUUUGAUGUCAUCAAACUGUUAAAGCAUACUUUGGUCGCUCUAUUCGAGACCCCAGAUCCUCUCUUUACAAGCUUAUUUGUUGCUUGCCAAAGUACCUCUUGUGGACCUGUUGCUCUAUGGUAAGAUCAAGGAACCAGUUGUUAGUUGAACUCUGGAGAUCUUUAUCUUUUUAGAUGAGAAAACACAUUUUGCAAACCGGUUGCAGUGAUUUUUUUUCGAGAAGAGAUUAGUUACAUGUUAUGCUAAGAGGUUGUUGCAGUUAUCUUCACUGUUAGAGUUGAAAUAAAUCUACCAAUUUGAAGAGGAAACUGAGAGAUGGUAGUUCUAAUUUCUACGUUUUGUUCGACAGGAUAUCUUUCUAUGGGUUGCAACUUACAGGGGAAGGUGCACUUCUUAGGCUUGGGCUUAAGUCUGUGUGAUUGAACCCAAAAUCUGACAUGAACAGAUCUCCUUUUAUUUUGGGCUUAAGUUCACUCUGAAUCUUUCAUUUUUGACUCUCUUGACUUUAUCCAAAAACUCAAGCCUCUGAUCCGAGGUUGGACCAAGCCAAAGUCCCUGACCUCUUUAAGAAAUACAGUUCCUUUUGUCAAUAGGCUAUUGGUAAUUUAAAACUUUUCAGCUUUUGGAGACGAAAUGUUAUUUCCAACAGCCUCGUUCUUGUUGGAAAGUUCAAGAUGACAAUAAGUUUUAUUUUUCAAGGUGAUGUCAACAAUAGUAGUCACUACUACCAUGGCUGCCUAUGCUCAUAUACCUUGCCAAUCCACUUUUGGCAUGGCACUAACACCAAAAAAUGCAUUGGUUAACACCAAGUUAGUUAUCCCAAUUGGAACCUGCUAUGCUAGAAGGUAGCUACGCUCACAAUGCCAAGUUGUACCAGAGGCGCCAACACAUACAAAGGUCAAUUUAUGGCUUGUGUGUUUUGGAAUAGAGGCAUGCCAAUUAGAGGCAUGUCAUGAUAUUUUUUUGGCUUGACACUACUAGAAGGAUAAUCAGUUUCCUCUAUUGCAUGUUGGAUUUAAUUUUCUAUAGAUUGUUAUCUUAUAUUAAUUGCAAUUAAUUUAUUCUCUGCAGCUAUUGGAAACAAUGAUAAAAAAUUGUGGGGAAAUAGUUCAUAUGCAUGUUGCUGAGAAAGAUAUGUUACACAAGAUGGUCAAGAUUGUAAAGAAGAAGGUUCUAGUUUUUUUCACUUGAAGAUGUUUUCUCAUUUACUAUCUUUUACUGGAUGCUGAACUAAGUUCAAAUUAUUUUCACACAGCAACCUGAUUCUCACGUUAAGGAAAAGAUACUUACAUUAAUGGAUACAUGGCAAGAAGCUUUUGGUGGUCCACAGGCAAGAUAUCCUCAAUACCAUGCAGCAUAUCAGGAACUGUUGGUAUGUGUUUGUGCAUUUUGUAUUUCUUCAACGGCCUUACAGUUUCAAUUGUUAUUUUUUCUGUAUGAUUUUUCAAUUGUUGGUACAUUUCAGAAAUAAAGUGCUAAUUGAACCAAUUAAUUUUUUGAUAAAAUUAUUGUCAAACUAUGAUUCCAUUGUUCUAUAUUCUCUGAUAUUAUUUCUAAUUUUCCUCCAUCAGAGAGCUGGAGCUGUAUUUCCUCAGAGAUCUGAGAGGUCUGCACCUGUAUUUACGCCACAAACACGGCCUCUGGAAUCUUAUCCUCCGUCAGUGCGAAGUCCUGAUUAUCAAAAUGAAGCACCUGAAUCUUCAAUAGCAUCUGAUUUUCCUGCUUUGAGGUGUUUCCCUAUUCUCAUCAGUUAUCUGCAAUGAACUUCAGCACACCUAAGCUUUGGUUCUGAUACAAAUUUUAUUUAAUUUUUCAGUCUCACAGAGAUUCAGAAUGCCAGUGGUCUCGUGGAUGUUCUUGCAGAGAUGUUGAAUGCCGUAGACCCUGGAAACAGGGAGGUAUGUUCUACUUUGAGACUUGUUAUCUUAAUACUUGUUAACAUGUCGUUGUCAAAUAUGAUCUUCUAACUUAAAGUUGGAUAUUAAAUUUGUGCUUAUGAAAAUGUGGAAUGUAAUAUAUAGACCUAAGUGAGUAAGAGGUCUUGGCUGAUAAUGAAUCUUUGUUGUCUCCAAGGUUUGUCAUACCGAAGCGUACCGCCCGUAUCAGGCGGUACAUACCGGUCCGACAGGUUACCGGUACGUGGACCGCCUGGUACCGCUACAGUGCUACAGUAUUAUACUGUAGCAUUGCUACAGUAUGAAAAAGUAUAAAAUUGUUCGGUACACCAGGGUGUACCGCUCGGUACGCCCUGAUGUACCGCCCGGUACACCGGUACCAUACCAUACCGAGCCCAGGUCGAAAUGCCGAUACGGUACAGCGAACCUUGGUUAUGGUCCUCUCCCUGAACUCAAUUUUGAGAACUACAUAUUCAUAGUUCAAUUUAUAAUUAAUAGCACUCUGAUUUUCUAUUAUGAUCCAUUUAUGAUCUGAUUUCUAUUACCAAGUUAGUAUAUCGUGUUAUUUAACAAUUGCUCAGCCAUUUUUUGGUUUCUAUAUGCAGGGGCUCAAAGAGGAAGUAAUUGUUGACCUUGUCAGUCAAUGUCGUACUUAUAAACAAAGAGUGGUGGAUCUUGUUAACACAACCUCGUAAGUCCUUUCAGCUGUUCUCCCCAUGUUUCAUAAAUCUUUCACAGGAAUGUGGGUGAAAUUUGGACUAAGUUAGUCUCCUUGUGCAAAAACCAUGAUCUGUAACCUUUAAUUUAUUUUUUAAUGUACAUAUCAUAUUUCAAAGAAUGAUUAAAGCUUAGCACAUUUCAUUCACUUGAAUUCAAGUGAUCGUUCUCUGAGUUCUCCCUCUACUUCUUUUAGCUUAACUGCUUCUGUCAUCUUUUAUGCUCUUCAAUCAGAUGUAAGAUGCAGUAGUUAACUUGCAUAUGCCACUUGACUGUGCUGAUCGCUUAUCAAUAUUGAAGCCAUUUACACUUUACCUUAUUCUGUUUGUGACAGAGAUGAGGAACUUCUUAGCCAAGGACUUGCUCUGAAUGAUAAUUUGCAGAAAGUACUAGCAAAGCAUGAUGCUAUUGCUGCAGGAAUUGCUGUUCAUGUUAAGAAAGAAAAAUUUCUUCAGGCACUUGUAGAUGUUGAUGAUUCUUCAACUAGCAAAGAGCAAGAUCAGAGGUAGGAAGCUUUUUCUUCAAGUAAUUUGAUAUUUACAAAUUAUGCAUCGAAGUUGCUACACUAUAAAAUUUAGAGGACUUCUGUAUCACUUCAACGAGAAAAACACAUCUUGAAGUUUAAAAAACAACAUUUCUUUUGAGUUCCUUCUUUCUUUGUGUGAAUGUGUACCAUAUUUAGCCAAUUUGAAGAUAAUCUCUUUGAAGUCAUUAUCCAAUGAGAUUUAAUUUGUCAAGGUUAACUGUUUAUACCUUAUGUGCUUCAUGAGUGGAGCUUUGAAGAACUUCAUCGAUAGCAUUAAGUAGUCUUUGGCUUUCAUCUAUAAUAUUUAGUGACGUUUCCUCUUCUUGAUCCGUUAAAAUUAUGUGAUUUUGACAUGAUGACGUAGGUUGUCAGCUACAAGCACAAGCUCAACAGACCAGCCCCCUCUUCAGCAACUAUUGCUGCCCGCACCACCUGUAUCUGAUGGUUCAGCAAAGUCUUCAACAAUAAUUCAUGCUAAUAUGGACCUUCUCAGUGGCGAGGAUUUUAAUAAACCUUCAAAGGAGAAUUUAUUAGCUCUUGUUCCUGUUGGUGAACGAAAUACCAAUUCUGCCUCUGAUCAGAACAUGUUAGCACUUGCAGACAUGUUUUAUCCAGACAAUGCUAACAGUAACAGCAGAGGUCCUGCAAAUGCUUUUGAUGCGGAUUCUACAUUUGCAACACAACAAACAUAUGCCACUGGAACGAACCCUCAGCUGCCCCAGCAGACACAACAGCUUGCUCGUUUUAAUGAUGGAGGCAGCCCAAGCUCAGGGGCACCUCAAUUUGGGCAGGCAAGCCAUGACACUGCAGUGCAUCUAAACCAGGCAAGCACUGCAUGGAAUGGUCAACUCGCUUCAACAUACAAUCCACAGCAGCAGGCACUCAGUUAUGGUAUGAUUAUUGACUUUUUCCUUGUCUUUUCAAUUCUUGGAAUCAUUAAGCUUUAUAGUUUUCUGGAUACCUAUUAUUCAUAGAAUGACACUGGAAUGGUUAAAGUGAAGUGCAUUUGCCUGUUCUGCAAUUCUCAUAAACCUGUUCCAUUGAAAAGAAAAUUGCACCAAGAUAAGACUCAUGUUUUAUGGACUAAGUGCUGAGUGCUAAAGAAUAUAUAUCAUAUUUAAAAUUAGUGCAAUAUAAAGAGGAUGUUCAGUCUGAUUAAUUACAUUAUACAGUAAAUAGAAUAAGAAAUGAUUGUAUUUUUAGUUGUGGUGGAUAGGCGAUACCCAAAGCAAGUCUUUAACUCAUAAAGAAUAAAUGUGAUUCAGAUUUGGAUGUUUAAGUAGAGUGGAAAACCAGGGUAAAUUUGCUCAUUAAUAUAUAAAAAAAACAUGAUGGUUGUUGGGCUAUCCUUAAUAGCAAAAAUAUUGCAUAAGCACUAACAAAUCCUCUUUGCAACCUCCAUAAUUCGAAAGCCCUAUCCUAAUCAUGAUUUCUAAUAUUUGGAAUCAUGAUUCUUAAUAUCUGGGAUCAUCUCAUAUAAGUUGAACCAUAUUCUAUAUCCUCACUUAAUCUGUGACAAUCAACAUAAACAUAGUUUAGAGUUUUUUAUUUCUAUUUAACUUUAAUUUAAAAGAAACAAUAAAAAGUUAGUUCAUAUAAAAGAUUGCUUACACUUGCGCCUUUUUUUACUAAUGGAAUAUAAGUGUUGCGUUUGAUGAAAGAUACACGUCAUACAUGCACAAACACAUAUAUGCAUGUCUAUAUAUGUAUAUAUGAUUAUAGUGGAAGAACUUCUAUGUAUGUAUGGCCCAAGUCAUUUUCAUAGAAAUCCAGACUGUUCAAUUGCAAUGGAUGGUUUGCAUCAACAGGUAAUGACUUUGUUUCACAAUACCCAUGUGCCCCUGGCAAGACUAUUAUGUCUGUGCACAUAUGGAUAUGUGUGUGUGUGUUUGUACGUGAACAUAUAAACAUUUAUUUGCACAUAGAGGCUACUUAAGGGUACUUAAGGGGGAUACUGAAACAUGGUAUUAAUGGUAGGAAAGGAUUCGUAUAGCAAACCAAACAGUUUGUACAGAAUAUGUAUGUCAUAGUUGUUUUCCAACACAAUUUGGGUUGAGAAAGUAUGUGAAAAGUUGUUUUAUGAUUCUGUUUAACUGUUACCAUAAACCAUUUCCUCGGAAACCUUUAUCUGCUAACAUGUCUUGACCUGAUACUUUUUAUGUUUUUUGUUCGAGUAAUUUAUUCUUUUGCAGGUCCAAAUGAUCAAGAUGGAGCUCUUCCCCCACCGCCUUGGGAGGCGGAAGCUGUCCAGCAUGAAUCGCCUGGUUUUCAGCCUCAACCACAUCAAACUGGGCAGCUUAGUGGUAUGCACUCCUUUCCAGCACAAACCAGCCAGCAUGCAGACAUGCCACCCCAUCCUAUGGCAGGUGGUCAGCUGGGAGGCAUGCAUUCACAACAUAUAUUGGGUGCCCAGCCUACAGGGCUGCAACCUCAACUAAUGCAGAGCAAUCAGUUUGUAGGCAUGCAUCCUCAAAUGCAGAACAGCCACAUGCCAUCUACAUUUCCACAGCAUAUGCUUGGAGGGCAUGUGGUAGGUGUGGGUCAACAGGCCAUGCAGGGGGUUCAGCUGACAGCCUAUGGAUACGGGCAACAACCGGGUGCCCAAUUCUACGAUCCAGCGAGACCUGCAUACCCUUAUUCUACUCCAAAUGAGCUUGCACAGAGAAUGUAUGGCCUUUCUAUGCAAGACAAUAGCACAUAUGCGAGUCAGUCCUCUUCCUAUCAGAUGCCUACCUCCUCCUCAUCCUAUCUGCAGCAACCGAACAAAGUGCCAAAGCCUGAGGAUAAGCUUUUUGGCGAUCUUGUUAACAUCGCCAAAACAAAGCAAAAUAAACCUACUGCUGGUUAAGUUUGAGAGCAAGUGAACUCGGUGCGAGGAACUAUUCUUCAUAUGUAUUUUUUGAUUUGUUAUUGUUGGUUUCUGUUGCUUCCCUUGUAUUUUCUCUUUCUGCCUCCUUGUUUGUAUUUUUCCCUUUGUUAUUGGUCAUGUACAUUUCUGUCUACUAGGGUGGCGGGUGGGAGGAAUAAUAUAGGUUCGUUAUAGAGUUUGGAGAUUUUGUGUUGCUUAUGUUCGAGUCUGAUGCUCACAACUACUGCUGAAGUCAUGUCUUUACGUAUUUUUUUUUGUAACACUGUAGCUUUAAUGCUGACUUUACUAAAAUAUAAAUAUACAAAAAAAACAUAAAUAUAUAAGAAAACCAGAGGAAAUUUGUUCAUAAAUAUAUAAAAUAAAAACAUGAUUAUUAUUGGGCUAUUUCAUGAUUCAGAAGCUCUAUACUAAUCAUGAGUCCUAAUAUUUGGAUUCUCGGUUCUUAAUAUUUGGGAUAAUCAACCUAAGCAUAUUUUAGAGUUUUUUCAUUUCUAUUUAACUUUAAUUCAAACGUAAUGAUAAAAAGUUAGUUCAUGUCCUUUCGUACAGAACACUUUUGUCUUUUUUUUACCACUGCAAUAUAAGCUCAUUUAAUAUAUUUUAUAUCUUAACUAUUUUAAAUAUUAAUUUAAUUAUAAUAUAUUUUAAAUAUUAAAUUAUUUUAAAUAUUAUUAUAAUAUUUUAAAUAUUAAUUAUAAUAUUGUUAAUAUUUAAUUAUAAUAUAUUUUAUAUUUUAAAUAUUAAUUUAAUUAUAAAAAAUAUAUUAAAUUUAUUUAAGAAAAAGUUAAGAGUUCGAAAUUUCACGAUAUAAAAGAAAAAGGGCCCAAAACCCCCUCGAGGCGUAGAACAAAGGCAACACUAACAAUACCGAACUGGAACAGCGGUGGAGUAGGUUAAUUAAACUAGUUAUUCACGAGUCCCACCGUCCCCGCCGCUUCCACUAUGCGACAAACCACUUUGCCGGCCUUUUACACGCGUCCGGCUGUGGACGCCGCAGGCGACCUCAAUGACGUCGCCUCUUCCACACGCCUCGCGGCGCGCGGCGGAAGGCGCAGGUCACGCUGUCGGUCGCCCACGUUGCCUUACGUUACGCACGCCUUUUAACGCAAGGAAAAUAACGGCCGUUACGACCCUUCUACCUCUCUCCCGCCUUUUCUAGAAGUGCGAAGAAUACUUGUAAACCAGAAACUUGAUGCUUAACGGAACGUUAUAAACUUUAUUAUAACGGUUUUGAGAGAGAGAGAGAGAGAGAGAAGAGGCAAAGAAUGCGGUCGAAUCGCGGUUCGAUUCUUUUCUUGCGUCUGCUGCUGCUGCUGUUGGUGGCCUGGUCGCCGGCCUCAUGGUGGCGGGGGUGGGCGUCAACUGGGGGACAUCCUCCUCUCCGCCGUUCGUGGUCGUGCCGGGGCUCCUCCAGGCCAACAGAGUCUCCCGGGUGAAGCUCCCCGACGCCGACCCUUCCGUGCUCGCCAGCCUCGCUGGCUCGGGCAUCGCCGUGGCUAUCGGCGUCCCCAACGAGAUGCUCCGGUCCCUCAGCUCCUCCAAGUCCGCCGCCGUCAGCUAGGUCCACGACAACGUCACCCGCUACGUCUCCAGCACUGGCGGCGGCAGUGUUCGAAUCGAGUAAGUCCUUUCUCUCUCUUCUUCUCCUUUUUGUUUGGGGUUUAUCAUUGAUUUUAGGGUUAAGAAAAGGAAACUUGGCGAUUGUAAUUGCACACUCGUUUCGAAAUGAAAUAAUGUUUAGGUAUUGUCUACUCGAUCCUUUUCUUCUCAAAGUUAGCAUUUUGCUUUUAGAACCCUAUCUCGGUUAAUGGGUUUAUGUUCAGAGUUCGUAUUAAGUUGUGGUAACUCUUAUGCUUGCGCAGAUCGAUUGAUUCUUUGUUGUCUGUGUUGCAUUAUGCUCUUUAAUUCUUUGUCGUGUUUGAUUGUUGAUUGUGAUUGUCCAUCCACUAUGUAGCUUCGCCAUUUGAACGAGACAUCAGUAAGAUAUGCGCCCAAAGUGAUCAUGCCACUGCAAAUUUUCCUUGUCCUCUUCGUGGCUGUUUGUCGUCAUACACGAUAAGUUUAUGCCUUGUAUUUGGUUGCAGUAUAUGUUUCUCUUGCACUAUGAUCUGCAUUGGCAUCUCUAUAAGGCUGCGCUGAGGACGAGAGUAGCUCAACUGAACUGGCAUUUACUGAUAUAAGACACACUACCUUCUUAACGAAAAACAACUUUGAAAUGCCACUAGGAAACUGAUAGGAAUUCAAGCAUUUCCCUGUCUUAUAAACUUCAAGGUAUUUAGAUGCGUAUCUUGUGCAACUGGGUGCCACUUGAAAGUUGAAACAGCGUCGAACUAAGAUCUUCAGAUUUUGAAAAUCUUAGGCAUUAUUUGUUAUGAUUAUUCCAUGCCCCUUGUUGUCCCUGUACAUAUGCAUGUGUCAUCAUCUGGGGCAUAUCUUGAGGUACUAAAGCUUGAAAGAAGAUGAGAAACAUGGCAAAAGGGAUAGAGCUUGAUUUAAGUCUGUUUGGAAGCUUUAAUAGUAGGAGUGCCGUUAGUCUUGGAUGACCUUCUACAUCAAGAACUCAAGAGUGGCCUUGGAUGCCUUUAUAAAUUGCAAUGAUAGUAGUGAUAAGUUGCAUUCGGAUUCACUUCUCCUUCAAGUAUAUGAGCUACCUAAGGUGCAUAUGAAGAAUGAUUAGUUUUCGUGGAAGAAUGUGUUUUGGGUACUUUAGGCAAGUAGUGAGAAUCAUUUGCUGUUGUCUUCCACGUAUAAAAAAUUCUGCAGUUCGAGUAAAGCUAAAUGAUAUCAUGCGCUAUUAGAUGCAGCAACUCUUCAAGGGAAACCUGUUUUGGCACACUGUCACAUGCUACCAAAUAAUUGCUGGAUUUCUUGGUCACAACAUCUGGCAACUUUGAUAAUAUCUUUGAUGGAAAGCUGUUUGUGUCCUUUCCCCUCCCUACUAUGAUUGGACGCUAGCAGAUUUCGCUCUUUCCUUAGCUAACACUGCUGCAUUUACAUUUGGUUGAUAGAUUGUGUAAGAACAUAACUGAUGAGGUGAAAUUGAACUCUCUGUUUAUUAAAUGCACUAAUCUGCAAUGCACUAAAGUUGACAGUGAAUUAUUGUCAAAAUUAAGCAGUCAAGCAGUGAGCUGCUGAAAGUUAAGUUGUUUGUUUGGACUCUUGGAAGGGAAAAAGUUUGUCGACUUCCAGAUUUAUGUCAGUUGGUAUAUCAAGACAGCUUAUGUUUUGUUGCCAAGAAAAUCUGGUCCAAGCAAAAUUUGGGUUUAGUGAUUGAUUUUAUGGCCCUAUGAGAGCUAUACUUUUUUGAUAUUGUCAGUGGUUUUAAGCUGAAAUUAUGGAUGACAAUGUUGACUUGUCAUCUUAUGUUUGUUUCCUCUUGCCCAUAUCUUCUUCUGCUAAGAUAUACUAUGUUAUAUUGCAUGAAGACGUUAAAAUUGGCAUAUUAGUAUGUAACCACAUUAACUUGGUGCAGAAAAGGACAUUCACAAAGCCUACCUAUGCGAUAUAUUGACAAGACUAUAAAUUGACAGGUUUAUUGCUGUCGGUGAUGAAGCAUUCCUCCUCAGUUAUGGUCAAACAUUCCAGCCCCAUGUAGUUGGUGCAGCAACAAACAUUCAGCGAGCCCUGACUGCUGCAAAUUUAGCAAACACGGUAAAAGUCAUUGUUCCUUGCAGUUCUGAUGUAUACCAAUCUGAGUCUAACCUACCUUCGAAGGGUCACUUUAGGCCUGAUCUCAACAAGACUAUGAUUGAGCUCCUCUCUUUUCUUGACAAGCAUGGUUCACCCUUUGUGGUUGACAUCAAUCCUUUCUUGACCUUUCAACAAAAGAAGAACCUUUCCCUGGAUUUUGUUCUCUUCCAGACAAAUUCUCAUGCAUUAUCUGAUGGAACGAACAAGUAUAGAAACCACUUUGAUAGUUUCAGCUUUGUCAAAGGUUGGGCAUGCUGAAAUGGAUAUAAUUGUCGGGAAGAUAGGAUGGCCUACAGAUGGUGCAAUGAAUGCCACACCUGCUGUUGCCCAGAUCUUCAUGCAAGGCCUCGUUGACCACCUGCAGAGCAAAGCUGGUACUCCACUUAGACCAAAGAGAACAACAAGAGAGACAUAUAUCUUCAGUCUACUAGAUGAAGAUCAACGGAGCAUUAAGACUGGGAAUUAUGAAAGACACUGGGGCAUUUUCACAUUUGAUGGCCAGGCAAAAUACAAUGUGGACCUUGGCCAAGGCUCAAAAGCUCUGGCAAGUGCUCAUGUUGUGGACUACCUGGCGCAAAAGUGGUGUGUGGUGAAUAACAAGAAGGACAUAUCAAAUGUUUCUGGCAGUGCAUCGGAAGCCUGUUCCGCUGCUGAUUGCUCUGCUUUGUCUCCUGGUGGCUCUUGCUCAGGGAUCGGCUGGCCCGGAAAUGUGUCAUAUGCUUUCAACAACUAUUUCCAGCUUCAUGAUCAGAGCGCGGAUAGUUGUGAUUUUGGUGGCCUGGGAUUGAUAACAACUGUGGACCCAUCAGUAGGUGAUUGCCGGUACACUAUUGCACUCGGCACAUCAUUUUCUACGUCUAUUCAUCAAACUUUGGUUGCACGGUGGAGCAUGAUGAUUCAAGGUGGCACCUUUUUUGCUUUCUUGCUCUUAUUUGUUUGGUGUGUUGAUCUGCUUACUUUGAGGUAGUUUUGUAUAAGACACUAGAAUUUUGUACUAAAACUUCCAGAGGAUGUCUAAGCACUUCAUGAGUUCAAUCCUUUUAGCCUGAAUCAUUCUGAACUUGUUCUACGAGAAGUGAAUGAUGCUAAGAUUUUGGCACUUACAUUAUUUGUGAUGCCAAGAAUUUAGCACUGCAUGGUUUGUGGUUGGAUUGGUUCUGCUUGCUUCUUCUCUUGCAAUAGAAAAUAAUAUCCUGCAUAUUGGUGUUACAUACUUGAAACACUUACUUCUGCAUGAAAACUACUUGCUCUUGCUGAUCAACUUACCUGCUCUCGCUGCACCAAUUAGGAACAGGAAAUGAUGAGGACCAGUUGUGGACAAACACUGCAUUAGGUAUGCACUGCAAUAAUAGUUCCUUGUUGACAUCAUAUAAAACUAAGACUCAGCUCUGCACUGCUUCAAGCCUUCCAUGUCAACUUAGCAUCCCAUCAACAAUGGCCACGGACGGCAGGUAGCUUAAUGUAAUGUGACUGUGUAUUUGACCGUAUGUAGAGUAUGUUCACCACAUGAUAACAUGCUCGAGGACAAGCGUGUACACUGUAGCCUAGUUUUAUAUGUUAUCAUUACCAAUAGAAACAUCCUUUCCUAUCUUUUUGAUUACUAUAAUCUAUGAUUGUUAAAGGUUUUAACUUAGGGUUCGAUCAUAAAUAGGCAGUCCCAUCUCCAUAUAGUUUCAGCUCAUCUGAACCUGAGAGGCAACCUUGCACUGUACCAAGUGUAUUCAUCUGCAACCAUACACCUUCGUUCUUGCUUUGGUGGCCUAAGCAAUGGGUAGCCACUCGCCUUGCGCUUCCUGCAAGCUUCUACGGAGGCGCUGCACGCCGGACUGCGUCUUCGCGCCCUUCUUCCCCUCCGAUGAACCCCACAAGUUCGCAAUGGUCCACAGGGUCUUUGGUGCAAGCAACGUUAGCAAAAUGCUACAGGUUUCUUCUUCUUCUUUGUUCUUCUAUUUUGUCUACCGAUAGUUUACGUUGGUUGACUACAGGAGCUUCCUCUUCAUCAAAGAGCGGAUGCAGUGAGCAGCUUGGUCUACGAAGCAAACGCAAGGAUGAGGGAUCCAGUUUAUGGUUGCGUCGGAGCCAUCUCUUACCUCCAGCAUCAAGUGUCUCAGCUCCAGAUGCAGCUGGCCUUGGCUCAAGCUGAGAUGCUUUGCAUUCAGAUCCAGCAGGCGCAGCUGAUGGAUGCUGAUGGCAUGCAGUAUCUCAUGCAGAGUGACCUCAGCGCCAUGGCCCAGUUGACGAACUAUCCAUCCUCCUCAAGCAAUGUACCCCAUGAGCCUCUCAAGAGAGAGAAUCCAUGGACAUAGAAGCCAUGUUCCUGUUCCCAAGCGUUUGCUUGGAACGGAGCUUCUUUGUGGAUUCAGUGCUUCAUCCAUGUACAUGUCCCUAUCAUUGUUAUGUUUAGGUGAAGACACAAACUGGAAGAUUCCUUUUGUUCUCCCUAAGACAAUUCCUUUUGUCAUCUAGCUGGCUGUUAUAUAUACAUUGUUGUUGCUGUAAGAACAUGAAGUCAUCCAAAAGCUUGAUUAACAUACCUUUCAAACUCCUGCAGACAAAACAAAAUGACACUUUGUUGGCCAUUUCCAAUCUACAUAUAAAUCACAGAUCAAGCUUUGACUCUUCGAUCAUCCUUUUCCUGUCCAACAGAAGGAAAACAAGUACAACUUUUGUAGCUUAACUCUGCAUCUCAAUGAUGAUUCUUUUCCUGGUGUUACUUGCUGUUUGCUAUGUGGGUUGGUGAAGUGUUCUUGGUGUUAGAGGAGUACAGAAUGUGCUCACAUGCAGUGUAGUUCUUUGCAUUAAGCUAUGUUGAUGGACCAGCCAACAAGAAGUUUUUUUGUCUCUAGCUUGGGAUUUAGUAGUGGAUGAGACUGCACUAAAAACAAAGGCAAUAAUUACACGAACUGAACUAAGCGAUAAGAGAAAGAGAAAGAGUCAACAGUGUCAUGAACUAGAUUUUAGUAUGUUGGAUUAGUACAUGACAAGAGAAAGAGUCUCAACCAUCUACGAUUAUAAUCCAUAUCAAGUUUGAUCUCCUGCAAGAUAAGACACUCCCACAUGCUAACCUCCAAAGGAUUGUUAGACUAAACUUUAUAAGGAUCGUAAUCCUGGACUUGUUCUCUUGGCAUGUCCUAAUCCUUGAUGAGGAUUACAAGAGAGAAAGUGGAAGAGUGAUUACAAGCAAGAAGUAAUUGAAAUCUUAACACGAAUAAGAAAGAAGUCAGACGUGACUAAAAGAAAGAAUCGAAUGCUCACUAGAGAGUUGACGGAACUCGGGCACUUGCUUCGAGAUCUGUCUACAAGAAUAAUAAGAUUGGAUGAGCUUUUAAUGUACAUGGUCAUUAAAUGAUUUUAGUAAACAAUAAUUGAUCUUGUUGAUUUAUAAUCGUAAAACAUAAUAAGUACUUCUGUUUGGAUAUUGAUAACAUUCAUUAAAAAUUACAAUGGAGGUGGAUAUUCUCCGGAUCGAAUACAUGGGGAAAUACACACGCUAAACAAGAUGAUUAUUAUCGUUUCAUCGAGAAACAUAAGCUCGUAAAUGAAACGACACGUUCUAAGCUUCUUGCUUGUUUCAAUAAGUGAAAGAAUGGACGCUGUAGAUGUGAAAGCAAUGGAGAUUCUCGUCGUCCUCCGAUUACGUUGAUCUCAGCUGUGACGCUCCCGGCAGGCUUUAGAUUGACUCACCACUAAGAGAUCGGAGCGACACGACACCAAACCGUUGUAAUUAAUUUUCGAGAUUCUCUCAAAAUUAAGAAAAUUUUGAAAUAAGUGAAAUGUGAGUUACAAUAUUUUUUAAUAGAGUUGCAUUGUUUUUGGAUAAAACCUAAAACGUGUAACCUCGUUAAAAAAUAGUAUAACUCGAGUCUUCAAGAAAAUUCUUUUCAUAAAACUUCAAAAAGCCUUCUUUGAAUAUUAUCAAGUGGUUUUUGAUCCAAAAUGAUUGUAAAUUCACCUUAGAUCGGGUAAUUGUAAAAGAUUACCGUAACUAAGGUUUUCAAAAAAAUAUUUUUCUGAAAACUUUAGAAAAACCUUCUUUGAUAAUAUUUACAUAGUUUUUUUUUCUUCAAAAGUGGUUGUAAAUUCACCUUAAAUUAGGGGAAAAAAUUAUAAAACAUAAAUAUAAUCAAUGAUAAAAUCCAUUAACAUAUUUUAUUUUAAAAUAGAAUAGUUAAAAAAGUCAUUUAUGCAUUUAUAAGUCAUUUUCCAAUUUUUUUCUUAAAAUUUAAGAUUUUUUUAUUAUUAGUUAUUUAAAAUAUAUUAAAAAUAUUAUUAUAUUACGUUUUAAUUUAUAUAAAUAAUUUAAAUUUUAAAAUUUUUUAUACUUAAUAUGUAUGAUUGUGUCCGAUGCCAACUCAUUUGCCAUCGAGGUCGACACCUAAGUAAGGCUCCAGGUCACCAACCUCAAAAUUGUACCAUGGUGUGUUCGAAUGUGCCCCACAUAAUGAUUGAGAAUAAUUUUUCUAUCUUACAUUGUUGUCUUCUCCCUUUCGUUGACUUAAUCAUAUAGUUUACAUUGUUGUCUUCUCCCCUUCGUUGACUUAAGCAUCGAAAAGGUCACGUUGAGCAUCUGGAUGAGCCAACCCCCAGGGAGGAACCUUGCAACUAGAAAUAUCUCAGUUUGUCUACCUGGUCAUCUCGAACCGGGUUCUCACCAAGAGAACGACAUCUAAUCGGAUGAUUUAGGUCACUUUUGUUGGACUAAAAAAAUAGGAGCCCUAUCCGAGGAAAAAAGAUCAACAAAAAAAAUAAACAAGAGCUUUUCCUAAAGAAAUUAUCCUAUAUAAUUAUAAUCAUGAUGCAUGUAUCAAGAAUCCAUAAUAAUAAUAAUAAUAAUAAUAAUAAUAAUAAUAAUAAUAAUAAAAGUCAUCUUUUCUGCACCAGUGAUCGCCUGUUGUUUGGUUCAUUCUCCCAUCGACAAGCUUUGGUGUUGGAUGCCGAUAGGAGGGAAUGGCAUCGGAGGCCGAAAGCUACGGCGACCCAAAAGAGUUUCCAUAAAUAUCACAGAUGAAUCAUGUUGGUUUGGCCCAGUGUGUUAGAUUCCUUAUUUUGUUCUCGGAGGUUCAUUAGGUGCAUGAACGUAGGCUAACCCUCCUCCUUAGGUUGAUCUCACAGAGAAGAGACUACAAGAAUAGACGACGAAAAAGUCUCUCAAACUCUUAAUGUGGUUGGUUCUAAAGUCCCUGCAAACUCUCUCAACCAAAACAAGCCUUGUUUAAUGCUUACUUAACCACAAGCUUUAUUUACUCGGAGCCUCAUCACGUCACCUCUCUCUCUCUCUCCAACUUUCUUUCCGGCUACAAUUCAGGCGCAUCGUGAAAACUUAGAAUUGGUUUCCAUCAAGACUCGUGGUGGUAUCAGCCACUUCGUGAAGAAGGUAUCAGCUCUCCAUUACAUGCCGAUAGAGGAGACCGGGCGGCUAAAGUUCAACCGAGGAAAUGAGAUUGACCCAUUCACUCCCAAGUUCAAGGGAGACUUUUGCUACGACUAAUGUAUUGGAGCUUGAGCGUAAUGUGAUGCGCCUGAAUUGUAACCCUAAAGUAAGUUGAAGCCAUGGCCCUUCGUGAGGAAAUAUACAGGCCGGAAAAGAGACAGAGGUCGCGCGAUGAGGCUCCGAGUAUAUAAAGCUUGUGGUUACGAAGCAUUAAAUAAGGCUUGUUUUGGUCGAGAGACUUUGCAGGGACUUACGAACCACGUUGAGGGUUGAGAUGCUCUUUCGUUUGUUCUUGUAGUAUCUUCUCCGCGAGGUUCUCAGAUGGCUGAGGAGAGGGUCGGCCUUGCUUCAUGUGCGUGCCCUUCGUUCAUGGUUUUUAUAACACCAAUCCGAUACCAGGAGAACAACAUCGAGGGUACACCUUUGGCUCCUCCUUCGCCACCCCACGUCCGCUACGGUACAUCCGAGCAACAAGGACGAUGGCUCUCUUUGCGUUGCCGCAAAGAGACUCCUGUCUUAUCUAUCAAAAAUUACGUCGAACAUUCUCUUCGCGUUGCCGCUCCCUUUUGUGGGCAAGCUGCUCCCAGAUCCGAAGAGCUUCGAGGACGUCGCCCGCUUCGCCGCCGACAGGAUCCGGAGGAGGAGAGUUGCCGAGCCCCCCGCUUCGGCCUCUCGCGUGGAAUAAGGAGACCACGACGACAUCCG
Molecule: long non-coding RNA, 18672 nt
Filed under: Musa acuminata (dwarf banana)
Lineage: Eukaryota; Viridiplantae; Streptophyta; Magnoliopsida; Zingiberales; Musaceae
Description: long non-coding RNA (MACU_LNC006042)
Source: RNAcentral